GCGGUUGUGGCGAAAUGGCAGACGCGCUAGCUUCAGGUGCUAGUGGGGGUGACCUCGUGGUGGUUCGAAUCCACUCAGCCGCACCA
Molecule: transfer RNA, 86 nt
Filed under: Propionispira arboris
Lineage: Bacteria; Bacillati; Bacillota; Negativicutes; Selenomonadales; Selenomonadaceae
Description: tRNA_Leu_CAG
Rfam family: tRNA
About the family: Transfer RNA (tRNA) molecules are approximately 80 nucleotides in length.
Source: RNAcentral